Molecule: ribosomal RNA, 230 nt
Filed under: uncultured bacterium
Lineage: Bacteria
Description: partial 16S ribosomal RNA
Rfam family: Bacterial small subunit ribosomal RNA
Source: RNAcentral
CGGACGGGUGAGUAAUGUCUGGGGAAACUGCCUGAUGAGGGGGAUAACCACUGGAAACGGUAGCUAAUACCGCAUAACGUCGCAAGACCAAAGAGGGGACCUUCGGGCCUCUUGCCAUCGGAUGUGCCCAGAUGGGAUUAGCUAGUAGGUGGGGUAACGGCUCACCUAGGCGACGAUCCCUAGCUGGUCUGAGAGGAUGACCAGCCACACUGGAACUGAGCACGGUCCAG